RNAcentral lists this ribosomal RNA (434 nucleotides) under uncultured Lachnospiraceae bacterium. RNAcentral describes it as "partial 16S ribosomal RNA". It matches the Rfam family "Bacterial small subunit ribosomal RNA", at positions 341 to 792 of the family's 1533-position model. The record is from RNAcentral. Lineage: Bacteria; Bacillati; Bacillota; Clostridia; Lachnospirales; Lachnospiraceae.
ACGGAAGGCAGCAGUGGGGAAUAUUGGUCAAUGGGGGCAACCCUGAACCAGCGACGCCGCGUGAGUGAAGAAGUAUUUCGGUAUGUAAAGCUCUAUCAGCAGGGAAGAUAAUGACAGUACCUGACUAAGAAGCACCGGCUAAAUACGUGCCAGCAGCCGCGGUAAUACGUAUGGUGCAAGCGUUGUCCGGAUUUACUGGGUGUAAAGGGAGCGUAGGCGGUUUGGCAAGUCUGAUGUGAAACCCCGGGGCUUAACCCCGGGCAUGCAUUGGAAACUGUCGGACUAGAGUGUCGGAGAGGAAAGCGGAAUUCCUAGUGUAGCGGUGAAAUGCGUAGAUAUUAGGAGGAACACCAGUGGCGAAGGCGGUUUACUGGACGACAACUGACGCUGAGACACGAAAGCGUGGGGAGCAAACAGGAUUAGAUACCCUGGUA